Long non-coding RNA from Cucurbita pepo subsp. pepo (vegetable marrow), 862 nucleotides. RefSeq lists it as uncharacterized. The record is from RefSeq and is a predicted model, not a curated record. Lineage: Eukaryota; Viridiplantae; Streptophyta; Magnoliopsida; Cucurbitales; Cucurbitaceae.
CAUUCAGCGCGAUUUUCAAAAGCCCUUCCUCUGAUAGGGCACCUAGGGCUUUACUCUGCCUGAGAAAAAAAGAAGAAGACGAAAUUCACUGUUUAUUUUACAAGUCGGAUCAUGAUUUUCAUUGAUUAGCAGAAGAAUUUCCAGCUUCAAUUGCGGAAGAAAGGCAUUCCAAUGCUGUUUUCAACUCCUGCAAUGGUGAAAAUUUCCUCCAAAUGUACGAUUAACAGCACCAGUUUGAUUGACGGAGUGAAUUGGAAGAAGGGAAUGUGGAUAGUACAGGAAGUGAAAUGAAGCAUUCGCAAACUGUUCGUUGGAGGCGUUUCUUUGGAGACCACUGAAGGUGGAAGUGAAGAGGACAGUUCCAAGGGCUGAUAGGAAUGAUAAAAUGGUAUCAAGAACCUAAAGAAUUUUUGUUGGAGGAAUACCACCUGCGUUGACGGAAGGUUAAGAGAAGUUGAUCACAUGAGAAGGCAGACUAAGCACAUGGAUUUCAAAACCUUCACACAUGAAUUAGUGCCAAAUCCAAAACAGUUUCAACAGAUUGAAAAGGAAAAGUACAAAGAAAUAUUUUAUUUAGUUGCCAAUUGGGUUACCAAAUAAGGUUAAAUUAUUUGAGCUUUUUUUAGGCUCCAAGCACGGAGUUUUGCGAUGGUUACACUCUCUGUUCCAUUGUUGAAAGCAUAGAGACCAGCUUUGUCUCCAAUCGCCAACCUUGGAUACACUCUUGCCGUGAUGCAAGCCUUUCCUUUAGAUCCAAAGCUUUCGACAAUUGAGUGAUCAAUCUGUAAAUGUUUCAUAAAAAUGGUCAAAUUCAUCGAUCGAGAUCUACUAUAGUUAGAUUUGAUAGACUUUAACCCGUGUA